This 264-nucleotide ribosomal RNA is filed under the name uncultured bacterium. RNAcentral's name for it is "partial 16S rRNA". It matches the Rfam family "Bacterial small subunit ribosomal RNA", at positions 1155 to 1417 of the family's 1533-position model. The record is from RNAcentral.
UGGUAACNGGGAGGAAGGGGGGGAUGAUGUCAGGUCAGUAUNACCCUNACAUGNGGGGUACAAACACGNUACAAUGGCCGGUACAAAGGGCAGCCAAAGCGCAAGCUGGAGCAAAUCCCAUCAAAGCCGGUCUCAGUUCGGAUAGCAGGCUGAAANUCGCCUGCUUGAAGCUGGAAUCGCUAGUAACGGUAGGUCAGCUAUACUACCGUGAAUACGUUUCCCGGGUCUUGUACACACCGCCCGUCAAACCAUGAAAGUCGCCAA